GCUCAUACCCAACUAAAAUGUCCAGAUACUGAGCAGAAAGAUUUCAGAAGAUUUGUCAAAGGCCGUUUUUAAAUCAAGGUGUGUUAUACCCAUGACAAUCCUGAUAUUCAAAUGAAAUAACCAAGCAUUGGAAAAGAGGUCCAUGUAGUGUAACUGGAAUUCUAGUGAUUUGCUGUUUCCUUAGGCAAAAUCCUUACCUUCUCAAUGUUAUUAUUGCCUCCUAUGAGAAAUGGGCAUAAAGCAUACCAUGUUAUUAGCCUGCCGUGUGGCCAGCACAGUAAUCCAUAUGAAGCAUUUAGCAUAUUUCCUGGCAUAUAGUGUAAGGCUUGAAAAAUGCUAACUAUUCUUAUUAUUGCUUUUAUUUGGCCAGCUAGGAACCCACUCAAUUGGAUUAGUAUCCAAUAAAUUGUGCAUUCAUGCAAUCAGGUCUGUUUCGAUUUUUUAAAUUAGUUUAGCUAGUUCGGUGUUCUAUCGCCAAAAACCAUGGUUGGCUCAGUUUUUAUCAUAUCAACCUUUUUUGUUUACUUGUUUGUUUUGUUUCUUUGCCUGGAAGAGACAAAGACCUGAGUGUGUUUCUUAUGAGCAGAUGCACGUGUUUGUUUAAGCCAGUGGCACAGGGCUGGGAAGAGAACGAGGUAGGUAUGGCCAACAGAGAACCUUGUAAAUACGGGUCAGGCCAAUGCAAAGAAAGUUUGUUGGCUACAUCAUUUGUGUUUCAGUGAUUUGUGAAAACAAAAUGCAGAGCGUUUUCUCCAUCUAUCGGCAGGGUAGUUUAAGCAUAUGGCAAAACAUCCAGCAUUUUUAGCGCAGUUGUAUACAUUAAUAAAAUCUAAACUCUACUGUCAACUGGGGUGUGGCCCCUUACCUCUGUGUGGUUUGAUCGUUUGAGUUUUAUCAUGUGGGUCUUUCUGUUGCUUUAGAUGAAUGCAGGUCUUGAUGUCCUCAUGUGUCCCAGGGGAUGGUUGCAGGUAAUUGUUCAGAUGUUUUGGUCCUCGCCGUGUCAUGGUUCUAGAUUUUUAAAAAUUGUCUUUAUGUUCUUGAUGUUCUUUAAUCCUCAGUGAGUGAGUUAGGUAUGAGUUAGACAUUAUGAUAGCAACUUUCCAAAGAGGUUGACUGAACUAUCCAAGGCCACGCAGCUCAUAAGUGACAAAGCAAGGCCUGUUCCACUUCAACAUCCAUGGUUUUUAGCGUUUUAUUAUACCAGCUUCUCCCUAACAUGCUCCUACCUUUUAGGAGAUCUCGAUGGCCUCUUCAGCUCAUUCAGUGAGCUUGGAGAAUGCUUUAUGGAAGCAGGAGCAGCUUAUAUAUUAUUAAAAAGAAUGAAAGGGCCAUAUUACUUCUUGUUUUAAUCUCUGGGAGAAGAAAAGCCCAAGAAGUUAGAUAUCAAUUAUUCAUAAACAGCCAUUUAAUUACCUUCUUAGACUUUUGAGGUUUGAUCUUCAGUUACUCGAUUCAGAAUUGAUUAAUUAAUAAUUUAAUUAAUUCAGCACAUAUUAAUGAAGCGCUUAUCACUUGCCUGUCAUUGUCCAAAGUGCUGAGGAACUAUGCUGAUUCAAAGGCUUUCUAGAGAGUUGGGUUUUGGUCUAAACGAAGUACUCACUUUCCAGAAAAGUUUGAUUCCAAUCAUCAUUGCGACUUAAGUUCUCACUUGAUUAAAAUGUUCUUUAUCCCUCUAGCACAAUUUAUAUAUGUGUACACCUACCCCAGAACUAGCCAGGCCUCACCUCUUUUAUCCUCUUAGCCCGAUCCUAUGCCUCCUUCAUGGGCCCAGGGCUAUCUUCUCCUUGAAAACUUCCCGACCAUAAGACUCUAGGCUGCAAGUUCCUUUUCUUCUAAACCUCUCUGUAGUGUCUCUAAUACCCUUAAAAGCAUGAGUGUUGGAUUCUCAUAUUUCAAGGGUUCUUAAACUGGGAUGAGCCCAGAGUCAUUCAGGGAAUUUUAUCGAAAUUCUUGUGCCUGGUCUUUAUUUGCUGAUUCAAUAUUUCUGGCACUGGAGCUUGAUUAUGUGUCAUUUGAAAUGACCCUCUGAGUGAUUCUGAAAUCUGAAACAGGCUCAAAAACCACUGUCUGGUAUCGUUGUCAGGAGUUAUUAUGGAGCCCUUCUAUUUUGUAUGCCAAGUAUUACCUCUUCCGUUAGAUUUAAACACCCGGAAAUAUUACAGUUCUUUGUAUUUUCUGAAUUCCUAGUACAGUGCUGAACUGAAUCAUCAGUAAUCACUGAAUAGUCAUCGGUUCAUGGAACUGGUCCUGUUUCCUCUUUUUUCCUAAUGCACUCAGAAAAUCUCAGGAGAGAAUGAUACAGUCCGAUACUAAGUCUGAUGUCCUAGAGACAAACUCCCUGGCCUUGGCCUGUGUGGCAGACGUGAAGAUGAUUCACGCAUUGCUGCUUCUCUUCCUUCCAGAUAUGCUAGAAGGGCAAUUCCCACACCCUUGCAAUUAUUUGUACGACCACGUGACUUGCUUUGUUUAAGACUCAGGAGCAGAAGUGAUGGGUGUCUCUCCCCGGCCAGAGAACUGAAUUACUGGUGUGGUACCCACUCAAGUUCCCCUCCCCUGCCUGGGCAGCCAGUAAUGCUCCAGAUGUGGAGACACCAGGAUGCUGGCUCCCUGAAUAAGGAGAGGUGGAGCAGACCCUCCUCUUAACCAUAUGGAUGUGUAGGAAGAGCAAGAAGUCAAGCUUUGUGGUAACAAGCCACACGAAAUUGUGGAAUUUUUGUUACUAAUAAUCUCUCUUGACUUGACCCAGCAUGGGCCAAAUCCAUAUUAAACUAUUAGUCAUAUACAUUAUGUAAAGCUUUUCAGUAAAAUAAAGAAUCUGAAGAGUUGCACUGUUUCUGGAAAGGAACAGUAAAAACAAAGCCAGACGCUAAGGCCUAGUACAGAAAGUCAGCCAAAGUGGGACUUCCGUUUGUUUAGAUGGCCACUAAGGUUUUUUUUUUCCUCUUAAAAAUCAGUGUUCUGGGAGUUCCCAUUGUAGUCCAGUGGAAACAAACCCGACCAGUAUCCAUGAGAAUGCAGGAUUGAUCCCUGGUCUCGCUCAGUGGGUUAAGGAUCCACCGUUGCCUCAGAUCGGUUGUUGCUGUAGCUCUGUGGCUAGGCCUGCAGCUGCAGCUCCGAUUCUACCUUUAGCCCGGGUGUGGCCUUAAAGAAAAAAAAAAAGUCAAUAUUCUUUUCACUCAGCUGGUAAUUAAUGAGGUGAGAGGAAAUAGCACUUUGAGUCCUCUGAUGUGGAGGAUUGAGAACCCAAGACAGUCAUCUGAUGAGAGCUAGUACCUUGGUCACAUUCUUCAUUAGUCAUUUGGGUUAGAGCCACUAGGAGGGAUGGCUGGUGACAGGAGGGAUGCCACUUUUCAGGAUUUUGAUACUUACUAGAAAGUACCAGGAGGACAGUUCCACUUUACGUGAGCAUCAGUGAUUUGUAACAGGAUGUGUUUCUUUAAACUCUCCCCAGUAGUGUGGUAGUUUAAUAGGUGAGAAUGAUAUCUUGUAAUUUGCAUGUUUUGGCCAGUAGUCAGGUCGUCCAGCACUACUUGUGCUGUUGACCCUUUGGUUCUUCUUUUGUGAAUUGCCUCUUUGAUGGGGAUAUCUUUAAGGAGGUGGCUGUGUUUCUCCAGGUCAGGACACAAGGCUCUCAGUGUCAUCUUCCUGACGCCCCCUGGCAGCCCUGCCAGCAUGUCUGCACGUGGGCUGGCAGAAGGGCAGGGGGAUGCCAGCAAUGCAGCACCUCCUGGAAUUCCUGCCACCCAGCACUGACCUCUGAAUGUCCCUCUCCUUUUGACUCACUGAGUUCCAGGGUGUGAUCAGGUUUCUGGAAUGCCAAGGAAGGUUAGGGAGGAUGUGAGAAUAAGCUCAGGACAUUGGGAGAACCCAGAGUCUUUCACUUUUGAGAGCUGGCCCCUCUUUUAUCUUCCUUUCCCUUUUGCACCUCUCUCCCCUCUGUUUUCUGGUUGCCCUUGUGCAAAAGGCUGGAUGCACUGUAACGAGGCUGCAGCAGCUGAGACUCUGACCCCUGAUUCCCCCUGGGAGCUGCCAGCAGCUUGUUCCUUACACACCACAUGCUCCUCUCAAGGGAGGGCAGGCUCACUCAUGACCUCUCCUGACCUUGUGGAAGAGCACCACUUUCCAAGGAAGCCCUGGUUCUCCCUCCUCCCAAUCUCCCCAUCCCACCUCCACUCAGGCUACUUCUGUUCUGGUUUUCCACUGCACUGGGCUCUGUGUGACCCUUUGUUGCAAUCAUCAUAUCUCUCCCACAGCCCAGGGCCCAUCACCUACAAGGAGAAUGAAGACCCAUGACUUGGCCUAUAAGGUCUUCAAUCAUCUGACCGACCACCUGAUGAAGAGUUUCAGCUAUACUUGGAAGGUCAGAUUGAGGCCAGAUCCUGAUGGACCUUGAAUGCCGGGUUGAGGAGCUUAGAUGGAAUCCUUCAGGUAAGAGGAAAACAUUGCAAGUGAGUGUGUUAUGGCCAGAGGUGUGCCUUAUCAUCCUCUUCUGAUAACACCUGAGCAGAAGCAAGGAGUCUCCUUCCUGCAUUGGUGGCUAACAUGUAGUGUCCUAGGUGGGACACCCCCUUCCUGGGAGGUCUGCUGGAGAGAGGAGCAGGGGGAAUCCUGGCUAAGACGGCUGGGUGAGAGUUUUGUGAUGAGAGAAGAGAAAGCCUUCCUUUUACCUGUUAGGUGGGACUUUGGCUUCUGCAGGGAGGAUGUAAAGAGAGUAUAGCUUUGUGCUGGGACCCCGGGCAAAGUCACUGUGCAGGACUCUUCUGAGCACACACUGGGUGCUGGCUCAACUGUCUUGUCACCCAGUCCUGGGGAGAGGUAACCAGCUCUCUGCUAACAGCUAGAGAAGGUCAGUCUGCUCUUUAGUUCCAGGUGCUGAAAUGCUGGUGGUGUUGCCUGGUUACUCCCCUCAUCCUGGUGAUAAGCACAAGGACAGUGGCCAGAGUGGCAAGAGCAGGGAAGGUGCUUCAGGGCUCCAAAGGGACAUGAAAAAGUUGGCUGGGACCCUGCUGCCAAAUCAGGAGAGAGGACCUGGAGCAGGAGCAGUUCAGCAACUCCCCAGAGGUGGAGCUUAGGUUCAAAAGUAAUGAGAGAGGAGCUCCCAUUGUGGUGCAGUGGAAAUGAAUCUGACUAGCAUCCAUGAGGACAUGGAUUCAAUCCCUGCUCUCUCUCAGUGGGUUAAGGAUUCAUUGUUGCCAUGAGCUGUGGUGUAGGUCACAGACAUGGGUUGGAUCCUGCGUUGCUGUGGCUGUGGUAUAGGCCAGCAACUGUAGCUCGGAUUGAACCCCUACCUGGGGAACUUCCAUAUGCCAUGGGUGUGACCCGAAAAAGCAAAUAAAUAAAUAGAUAAUAUGUUCUUGUACAUCCAUACAAUGGGACAUUGUAGAGUAAUCUAAAAACAAAAAAA
This 5404-nucleotide long non-coding RNA is filed under the name Sus scrofa (pig). Its description in RNAcentral is "lncRNA (ENSSSCG00040035418.1)". Lineage: Eukaryota; Metazoa; Chordata; Mammalia; Artiodactyla; Suidae. The record is from RNAcentral.